Molecule: long non-coding RNA, 389 nt
Filed under: Bos taurus (domestic cattle)
Lineage: Eukaryota; Metazoa; Chordata; Mammalia; Artiodactyla; Bovidae
Description: long non-coding RNA NONBTAT019620
Source: RNAcentral
CUUUAUUCCAGACCCCUUGUGUAUAUGUAUGUGUAAACUAGCAAGCUAUAAGCUCUAGAGAGCUUAGAAAAGGCAUCCUAGCCUCUAUCUAACCAGAACAUCAAUGUUUAUCUACCUAUCCCAUAAUUAAAAUCACAUGUCUGACCAUAAGCUCUGAGUGAGGGUUUGCUUACCUUAAUGCUUGUAAACUACUUGGCCACUUAAGUGUCAUUGGCUCUGUGAAUUGAAUCAGAAGGGAGAAAAGUGUCAAUGUCAGAAUCUACUUUAGGCCUUUAAGCUGAUUCUACAACUUAUAAAGCCAUUCAUAUAAACAAAUUCCAACCUCAAAUAUUUUUUUCCUCACCUCAGUCCAUCAAAUUGCAAGUUAAGUACUAAUUCUGGUUGGUUGA